GGAGAGAUCGCGUAGCUGGUCGAGCGCGCAUGAUUGGAAAUCAUGUAUACCGCAAGGUAUCGAGGGUUCGAAUCCCUCUCUCUCCGCCA
This 89-nucleotide transfer RNA is filed under the name Oscillospiraceae bacterium. Its description in RNAcentral is "tRNA-Ser". It matches the Rfam family "tRNA". Rfam says of the family: Transfer RNA (tRNA) molecules are approximately 80 nucleotides in length. Their secondary structure includes four short double-helical elements and three loops (D, anti-codon, and T loops). RNAcentral also lists the same sequence under 1 other name. Lineage: Bacteria; Bacillati; Bacillota; Clostridia; Eubacteriales; Oscillospiraceae. The record is from RNAcentral.